UACUAGAGUAGCACUCGCAUAUCAAUAAGCGGAGGAAAAGAAACUAACAAGGAUUCCCCUAGUAACGGCGAGUGAAGCGGGAAGAGCUCAAAUUUGAAAUCUUAAAGGGUUUCCCUUUACGAAUUGUAGUUUAAAGAAGUGUCUUCUGUUGAGGUUUCGGUAAAAGUUCUUUGGAAUAGGACAUCAUAGAGGGUGAGAAUCCCGUAUUUGACCUUUACUUACAACUUUGUGAUACACUUUCAAAGAGUCGGAUUGUUUGGGAAUGCAGUCCAAAAUGGGUGGUAAAUUUCAUCUAAAGCUAAAUAUUGGCGAGAGACCGAUAGCGAGCAAGUACCGUGAGGGAAAGAUGAAAAGAACUUUGAAAAGAGAGUUAAACAGUACGUGAAAUUGUCAAAAGGGAAGCGUUUGACACCAGUGUUGUUUUUCUGAAAAUCAAUUAAAGAACUGUUUAUGCUAAGUUGUUUAGACUUUAUCAGCUAACUGUUUAGUUUUGAGCUUUUCUUUAAUGCACUUUUCAGUUAACAAGUCAACAUCAAUUUCUUUUGCUGUAAAAAAGCUUGAGGAAGGUGGCUUGAGAUUCGUCUUAAGUGUUUAUAGCCUCUUGCCUAUGCAGUCGGAGAGAUUGAGGUCUGCAGCGUAGAUCCUUCGGGGCUAAAUGCAUUUGUGCUAAGUUAUAGCAUUUUAUAGACAACUUGUUGACUAUGAUUUGUCUUGUAGCUUACUCGCUUAUGUUAUUUUACCUACGCUUAGGAUGUUGAGUAGCGACAUACGCAC
RNAcentral lists this ribosomal RNA (774 nucleotides) under uncultured Neocallimastigales. Its description in RNAcentral is "partial large subunit ribosomal RNA". It matches the Rfam family "Eukaryotic large subunit ribosomal RNA", at positions 20 to 649 of the family's 3401-position model. Lineage: Eukaryota; Fungi; Neocallimastigomycota; Neocallimastigomycetes; Neocallimastigales. The record is from RNAcentral.